Molecule: ribosomal RNA, 1546 nt
Filed under: Arsenophonus endosymbiont of Bemisia tabaci Q2
Lineage: Bacteria; Pseudomonadati; Pseudomonadota; Gammaproteobacteria; Enterobacterales; Morganellaceae
Description: bacterial SSU rRNA
Rfam family: Bacterial small subunit ribosomal RNA
Source: RNAcentral
AAAAGUUUGAUCAUAGCUCAGAUUAAACGCUGGCGGCAGGCCUAACACAUGCAAGUCGAGCGGCAGCGAGAGAAAACUUGCUUCCUUUCCGGCGAGCAGCGGACGAGUAAAUAAAGUAUAAAGAUCUAGCCGAAAGCAAAAAAUAACCACUAAAAACGGUAGCUAAUACCGCAUAAUCUCUAAGAAAAAAGUGGGGGCCAUUUUCUGGCCUCACACCUUCGGAUGAACUCAUAUGAGAUUAGCUAGUAGCUGGGGUAAUAACGCACCUAAGCGACGAUCUCUAGCUGGGCUAAAAAGAUAAUCAGCCACACUGAGACUAAGAAACAGCCCAGACUCCUACAAAAGGCAAAAGUAGAGAAUAUUGCACAAUGGGCGUAAGCCUGGUGCAGCCGUGCCGCGUUUAUGAAGAAAGCCUUCGAGUUAUAAAGUACUUUCAGUCGUGAGGAAAAUGUUAAGGUUAAUAACCUUGACAAUUGACGUUAGCGAUAGAAAAAGCACCGGCUAACUCCGUGCCAGCAGCCGCGGUAAUACGGAGAGUGCAAGCCAAGCAUUAAUCAAAAUUACUGGGCGUAAAAGGCACGCAAGUAAUUAAUUAAAUUCGAUGUGAAAUCCCCAGGCUUAACCUAAAAAUAGCAUUCAAGACUGGUUAGCUAAAGUCUUGUAGAGAGGGGGUAAAAUUCCAUGUGUAGCGGUGAAAUGCGUAGAGAUGUGGAGAGGAAUACCAGUGGGGAAAACAAGGGGGCCCCCUAGACAAAGACUGACGCUCAUGUGCGAAAGCGUGGGAAGCAAACAAGAUUAGAUACCCUGGUAGUCCACGCUGUAAACGAUGUCGAUUUGGAAGUUUUGGUCAUGAACUGUGGCCUGCGAAGCUAACGCGUUAAAUCGACCGCCUAGGGAGUACGGCCGCAAAGUUAAAACUCAAAUGAGUUGACGGGGGCCCGUCACAAGCGGUGGAGAAUGUGGUUUAAUUCGAUGCAACGCGAAGAACCUUACCUACUCUUGACAUCCAGCAAAUCCUUUAGAGAUAGAGAAGUGCCUUCAGGAGCGCUAAGACAGGUGCUGAAUAGCUGUCGUCAGCUCGUGUUGUGAAAUGUUAAGUUAAGUCCCGCAACGAGCGCAACCCUUAUCCUUUUUUGCCAGCGAUUCGGUCGGGAACUCAAAGGAGACUGCCGAUGAUAAACCGGAAGAAGGUAGGGAUGACGUCAAGUCAUCAUGACCCCUACGAGUAGGGCUACACACGUGCUACAAUAGCUUAUACAGAGAGAGGCAAACCGAAAAGCAAAACUCAGAAAGUACGUCAAAGUCCAGAUUAGAGUCUGCAACUCGACUCCAUGAAGUCGGAAUCGCUAGUAAUCGCAGAUCAGCAUGUCGCGGUGAAUACGUUCCCGGGCCUUGUACACACCGCCCGUCACACUAUAAAAGUAGAUUGCAAAAGAAGUAGGUAGCUUUAACCUUUUGAGAUAGCGCUUACCACUUUGUGAUUCAUGACUGGGGUGAAGUCGUAACAAGGUAACCGUAGGGGAACCUGCGGUUAAAUCACCUCCUU